RNAcentral lists this long non-coding RNA (530 nucleotides) under Scleropages formosus (Asian bonytongue). RNAcentral's name for it is "lncRNA (ENSSFOG00015027736.1)". Lineage: Eukaryota; Metazoa; Chordata; Actinopteri; Osteoglossiformes; Osteoglossidae. The record is from RNAcentral.
GGCAUUGAGCGACGGACUCAAUUGCGUGAUCGUCUUCGGCAACUAGACAGCAGUCGAAAGCGAAAGGGAAAAGCAACUAGGGAAAUACAGGGACAGGCAUAGGUAUGAAACCCCAUAACUGAACUGACCCCUCGGAGUUCUGGAGCAGCUAAUAAUUUAAAAAUUAAGAAAUUAUUUAGAGAAUGUUUUGAUUCAGAGCAGCUAGAACAGGACUAAAGUAAAGACCAAGUGAAUUCCAAGUUGGGCAGAAGACAGUUGCCAGAGGAGGAAGCUGACUACAGAUGAAAGUGCACCACUGAUGUCUUCAUGAGUCCAUCCAGCGCUUUUCAGAAGUGCUCUCGACAAACAUGAAACAGAUGGGGUCCCCCAGCAGCGACAUGGCAAAUUACAGAGUGCCUUACUGCAGGAACCCAGGGCAUCACAGCUCAUUUUAUGGCAAAAGAAAGGGGAGUACAGGAACAAGAGAGAGGAGGAGAGUGAUAGAGAAGAUCCCGGCAAGCUCUUCAGACUCCAGUGAUGAAAAUGAGGAA